This 1562-nucleotide long non-coding RNA is filed under the name Solanum tuberosum (potato). RNAcentral describes it as "long non-coding RNA (STUB_LNC004156)". Lineage: Eukaryota; Viridiplantae; Streptophyta; Magnoliopsida; Solanales; Solanaceae. The record is from RNAcentral.
UGCAACUGUGUAUUUGCGAACUUCUUGGCGAGAACCUGUUGGAACACUCGGAGAACAUGACAAGACCUUGGAUUCACCUAUUUCAAUACCUGAGCUUCCAGUUGAGUUCCUUCUCAAAUAGCCGACUCCGGACUCAAUUUUGUCCAGGUUCACUGGCAUGCCAACAUCGUUUUUCUUGCUCAACUCAUAAGAUGCAGUGUCUUUAUCCAUCCUGCUUCCUGUGUUUGUUUUGGUGGUUGCAUCAUCCAAUAUAGACCCCUUAAGUGUGAGCGAAACCCCUGUCAUAAGACUGUCACUGUAUCUUCUUCUGCUUAGUUUGUUGCUUCUUGACACAGAAUAAUCAUUUUCUCCAAGAGGCUUCAGCUUCAAAUCACUUCGAUGCCUUGCAGAAACGGCUAAUUUUUUGGUGCAUGCUUGUAUUUCCUUUCCAUGGGAAGUUUUCAGCCUUCUGAUAUUUGCAGGUAGUUUAGUUGAGUGUAGUGGUUUCUUCCGUAUCUGCCACUUCACAGUUGUAGCCAAUUUUGAAUUUUCUCCUGAUGAAGUUACAGAUGUUUUGGACAUGUGAGUCCUCGCCUUUGUUUUACAGUUGAGUUCCGCACCAUCUUUGUUAGCGUCAGAAGAACCUGUUGGAACACUCACAUGACGUGGCAAGACCUUGGAGUCACCCAUUUCAAUACCUAAAUUGCCAGUUGAGUUCCUUCUCAAAUAACUGAGUUCAUGCUCAAUUUUCUCCAAGUUUGCAGGUUUUCCGACAACCUUCUUGUUGCCCAACUUAGAAGACCCAGUGUUCUUGUCCAUCCUGCUUCCUUUGUUUGGUGUGCCGGUUGCACCAUCCAACGGAGAAUUCUGAGCAAUUGAUGAUCCCCCUGGUAUGAUAGUGUCGCUGUAUCCUCUUAUCCUCAGCUUAUAGAUUCCGGACAUAGAAUUAGCAUUUUCCUGCAACGACUUCAUCUUCAAACCGUUCCGUUGUUUUACAGAAACAGCUAAUCUUUUGGCGUAUGCUGGGAUCUCCUGUCUCUGGGAUUUACCAGUUGUACGCCUCUUGAAAUUCACAGGUAGCUUACUCGAGCGUAGUGGUUUCUUCCUUAUCUGCACCUGUACAGUUGUAGUCAAUUCUGGUAUUUUUUCUGAUGCUACUACUGUUCUACUCAGCAGGGAAGUCCUUGCUAUUGUUGUUUGAUCAUCACGUUCAGCACCUUUGCAAGCGUCAUGGCAAGAACCUUUUGGAUCGCUCAGGUAACGUGACAAGACCUUGGAUUUAGCAAUUUGAAAGCCAAAGCUGCCAGUUGAGUUCCUUCUCAAAAAGCGAGCAUCACGCUCAAUUCUCUCCAGAUGUGCAGGUAUGCCAACAACCAUCUCAGCCAUUUUGAGUUUGAGCAAUGAAACUAGUACCACUGCAGAACUUAUCAGAAGCAGAGACCCUUUGAAACCUCGACCUCACAAAUGCAGCAUCCUAGUGUGGAAAAAAUAACAAGGACCUGUGAGAGAAUUGAUACUGAUAAAAAAAGCAAGUGGUGGCAUUCAUGGUUUUCUAUCCACUUAUUGUAUGAUUAAACAUAAAC